CAGCACCUUCUCAUUGUCAUGUUCUUUGUUCUUGUGAGAUCAAUGAUAUUUCUAAUGUGCUAGAGCAAAAUUGGAGGCUAAUUAGCAGAUGGUCUUUUUAUGUAACCAUAACUGCCAGUCCCCUCCAUACAUUU
Chiloscyllium plagiosum (whitespotted bambooshark) is the source of this 134-nucleotide small nucleolar RNA. The record is from RefSeq and is a predicted model, not a curated record. NCBI's taxonomy places the organism in Eukaryota, Metazoa, Chordata, Chondrichthyes, Orectolobiformes, Hemiscylliidae.